UUGCAUCUACCAAUUGGAUGGUCUGGUGAAGCCUUGGGAUUGUGGUCAGGUUCCUUCAUUGGGACCUGACCGUGAGAACUUGUCUAAACCUGGUGAAGUCGUAACAAGGUU
RNAcentral lists this ribosomal RNA (111 nucleotides) under uncultured eukaryote. RNAcentral's name for it is "partial small subunit ribosomal RNA". The record is from RNAcentral.